GACGAACGCUGGCGGCGUGCUUAACACAUGCAAGUGGAGCGACGAACCAGGGCUUGCCCUGGGGCAGAGCCGCGAACGGGUGAGUAACACGUGGGUAACCUGCCCAGAUGACCGGGACAACCCGAUGAAACUCGGGCUAAUACCGGAUGUGCUGUCCCCACAUCAGUGGGGUUAGGAAAGGUAGCUUCGGCUUCCGCAUCUGGAUGGGCCCGCGGCCCAUUAGCUUGUUGGUGAGGUAACGGCUCACCAAGGCUUCGAUGGGUAGCUGGUCUGAGAGGACGAUCAGCCACGCUGGGACUGAGACACGGCCCAGACUCCUACGGGAGGCAGCAGUGGGGAAUCUUGCGCAAUGCGCGAAAGCGUGACGCAGCAACGCCGCGUGCGGGAAGACGGCCUUCGGGUUGUAAACCGCUUUCAGUUGGGACGAAGCCUUUGCGGUUAAUAACCGUGGAAGGUGACGGUACCUUCAGAAGAAGCCCCGGCUAACUACGUGCCAGCCGCCGCAGUAA
This 509-nucleotide ribosomal RNA is filed under the name uncultured bacterium. Its description in RNAcentral is "partial 16S ribosomal RNA". It matches the Rfam family "Bacterial small subunit ribosomal RNA", at positions 28 to 523 of the family's 1533-position model. The record is from RNAcentral.